GACGAACGCUGGCGGCGUGCUUAACACAUGCAAGUCGAGCGGUAAGGCCCUUUCGGGGGUACACGAGCGGCGAACGGGUGAGUAACACGUGGGUGACCUGCCCUUAGCUCUGGGAUAAGCCUGGGAAACUGGGUCUAAUACCGGAUAUGACUCCAUGACGCAUGUUGUGGGGUGGAAAGCCUUGUGCGGCUAGGGAUGGGCCCGCGGCCUAUCAGCUUGUUGGUGGGGUGAUGGCCUACCAAGGCGACGACGGGUAGCCGGCCUGAGAGGGCGACCGGCCACACUGGGACUGAGACACGGCCCAGACUCCUACGGGAGGCAGCAGUGGGGAAUCUUGCGCAAUGGGCGAAAGCCUGACGCAGCGACGCCGCGUGAGGGA
Molecule: ribosomal RNA, 379 nt
Filed under: uncultured bacterium
Lineage: Bacteria
Description: bacterial SSU rRNA
Rfam family: Bacterial small subunit ribosomal RNA
Source: RNAcentral